This is a long non-coding RNA of Salvelinus fontinalis (brook trout), 2056 nucleotides long. RefSeq lists it as uncharacterized. The transcript has 2 exons. Lineage: Eukaryota; Metazoa; Chordata; Actinopteri; Salmoniformes; Salmonidae. The record is from RefSeq and is a predicted model, not a curated record.
CCAGGCAUUCCAGUUCUACGAGAGAACUCAAAGAUUUCGACACACCUCAGGGACUCAUGCACACACACACUAGUCUAUACACCCCUCAGAUGCCGUUACAUAUACACACAUUUGCGUUUUCACUCUCUCCCUGCAGUAAGAUCAAAACAAAUUUUACUUACAAGCCCUUAACCAACAAUGCAGUUUUAAGAAAAAUAAGUGUUAAGUAAAAAUGGAAAAAUAAAAAAUAGAAGUAACAUGUAAUUAAAAGCUGCAGUAAAAUAACUUUAACGAGGCUAUACAGAGUCAAUGUGCGGGGGCACCGGUUAGUCGAGGUAAUUGAGGUAAUAUGCAGUGGUGUAAAGUACUUAAGUAAAAAUACUUUAAGGUACUACCUAAGUAGUUUUUUGGCGUAUAUGUACUUUAUUUAACUAUUUAUAUUUUUUGACAACUUUUACUUUUACUCCACUACAUUCCUAAAGAAAAUAAUGUACUUUUUACUCCUUACAUUUUCCCUGACAACCAAAAGUACUUGUCACAUUUUGAAUGCUUAGCAGGACAGGAAAAUGGUCUAAUUUACGCACUUAUCAAGAGAACAUCCCUGGUCAUCCCUACUGCCUCUGAUCAGGCAGACUCACUAAACACAAAUGCUUCGUCUGUAAAUCCAAAUAAUUUUAGACUUUUACUCAAGUGGUAUUUUACUGGGGGACUUUCACUUUUACUUGAGUCAUUUUCUUUUAAGGUAUCUCUACUUUUACUCGUGUGUGUGUGUGAUCUCCUGAUCAGUGUGUAUCCUUUGUUGUUAUUCAGAGUAAAGUGUGCAGCCCCGUGAGUGGGAGUCCUGUGGAUGGGGUCCGCUCUUCCUCCUCUGUUCUGCCUCUACUGACCCCCAGACCCAGCCUACAGCAGCCACUCCCUGCUGUGGUCCUCUGCUGCUGCUGUGUGGUGGGGAAGACUUACUGCAACAGAGUGCAUUGCGCCAUUUGACAUUGACUCUUGGAGUUGCCCCUAAAAUAAUGUAUUGAACCAAAAUUUCUCUUUUCCAGGCUUAUGGGGGGGUCCACGUUAACAUGGCCAACACCCCCUGUAAUCUACACCAUGGUGCAUUGGAGUAAUCCAGUAGAUUCGUAUGGGGGAAAUGUAUUUACUGAACCAGGUGACAUAGCUGUAUUUAAACCAAUGGCCUGGUCAGAUCCAAACUGUCCUCUUGACUAAGGUCCUGGUGGUACUGGUCCUUAAAGGGGUCAAGUCUGGUCUGGACUGAACUCUGGUGAUGAUUCCUAAUCUUUCAAAUAUUUUAUUUUAUGCUUGCCACCAAAUAUUUUCUGACCAAAGUUUUAGCUGUAGCUUUCAUAUUCUUUCCGAAUUAAUACUAUCCAAAUUCACUUUACGUAACUAAGGCUGAUGCAGGAUAUUCUCUGGGUUUUUGUGUAUACUGUAUAUUUUUGAUUGAUGUUUCAACAUAUUUUGCAGUAUAACAUUUGGUUGUUUGAUUUUGUUGUAUUUUACUGUGGUCUUAUUAUUGUUAAGUGUGGUCUUAUUAUUGUUAAGUGUAAGUACGUGUAUCUGGUUGAAUUGAACUUCAACCACCAAGGAACUAUCUGCCUGACAGAUAUUGUAACAAACUAUAAAGGUAUCCGCAUACAUAGGUUCGGUUUGCUCCUAGCAGAAUUCAGCUAGGCGAAGUGAACGUCUGUGCUCGCAUACUCCCUUAAAAUUCCUUUGCUUGAAAAAUGAGAAAAAAGCUGCAAUAUUACUGUUUGAUGCCGUAGCCAGUACAAUGUCAAAAUAGUCAAAAUUAAUCCAAAGAUAACUCAAGAAAUCUGUAAUUAAUUUUGACGGUUUUGCCAAGGUCUUACAUCUAACCAAGAUGUUUGGUGCAGUAUUUCUCAAGUCACUGUGCAUGAAAACAAGAACAAAGAUUUUGAAAUUCUUCUUUAUUCCAUGAAUUCCAGUUUGAGGUUUCAACUAUUGACAACCUUCCCUGACCCAAGCACAGCAGACACAAAAUGGCAUGAUAGUGGUAGAGUUCAGAAAAUAAAAUACAACAAAUUUAAUUACAAAGAGGUAAGGAAGA